RNAcentral lists this ribosomal RNA (446 nucleotides) under uncultured bacterium. RNAcentral's name for it is "bacterial SSU rRNA". It matches the Rfam family "Bacterial small subunit ribosomal RNA", at positions 330 to 793 of the family's 1533-position model. The record is from RNAcentral.
ACCAGACUCCUACGGGAGGCAGCAGUGGGGGAUAUUGCACAAUGGGGGGAACCCUGAUGCAGCGACGCCGCGUGGGUGAAGAAGCGCCUCGGCGCGUAAAGCCCUGUCAGCAGGGAAGAAAAUGACGGUACCUGAAGAAGAAGCCCCGGCUAACUACGUGCCAGCAGCCGCGGUAAUACGUAGGGGGCGAGCGUUAUCCGGAUUUACUGGGUGUAAAGGGGGCGCAGACGGCGAUGCAAGCCAGGAGUGAAAGCCCGGGGCCCAACCCCAGGACUGCUCUUGGAACUGCGUGGCUGGAGUGCAGGAGGGGCAGGCGGAAUUCCUGGUGUAGCGGUGAAAUGCGUAGAUAUCAGGAGGAACACCGGUGGCGAAGGCGGCCUGCUGGACUGCAACUGACGUUGAGGCCCGAAAGCGUGGGGAGCAAACAGGAUUAGAUACCCUAGUAC